This 811-nucleotide long non-coding RNA is filed under the name Carica papaya (papaya). RNAcentral describes it as "long non-coding RNA (CPAP_LNC002710)". The record is from RNAcentral. Lineage: Eukaryota; Viridiplantae; Streptophyta; Magnoliopsida; Brassicales; Caricaceae.
GGCCCUUCCCGGCCUCCGUUUGAUGCAAUUUUUAUAUCACCGUGAUCACCAUUCUUUUCUCUACAGGUUGACCGGAGCCGAAUCACUAAAACACGAACCUCGCCGGAGAGCCGCCGCACCCGAGAGCGUCGCCGCCGGUAAGCUCCGUUUUUCUGUGAUUUUUUGGCCCCCCGAGGGCCCUAGGGUUGUUUUCUCGCAGGGACCGAUGCGAGUGUGACCGAAUUCGGCCAGAAACGGCCGAAAACAGCCAACCCGAGGCGAAUCGCCGCCGCCGGAGCACGGCGGAGCCGCCGUGCCGGAGUUGCGAUAUUGGCCGAAAGGGGCCCUGGACCUAAUUUGGGAUUUUUUUGGAACAUGUGCAGGUACCAGUAGUGCGUUUCAGUUCCCUGAGAAAAAUUCAGGAAAAAUUAGGGACAGUCUGUAGGCGCACUGUGAAGCCGUGUUCGGACUCCGAAACGUGUAAGGACCCCUCACCUUAUUUCCUAUCACGGUUUUAAAGUUCAGUAAAUGAUAAAACGGUAUUUCAUGAAUCAACGAAUGUGUGAAAUUGCUUAAGGUCGCUAAUGGAGCCCAAGUCUAGUGUAUUUGUCGGUUAACUGUUAUUUGGCCUGUUUUACAGUUUUAAAUGCAGCAUGAGGUUCGAUGUUUUCAUUUUAUAGUUUCGUGUGCAUAUUUUACUGUUUUAUUGAUUAUGGAUUAAAUGACCGGGAUAUUGAUGUUGUAUGUUGUCUGUUUAGCAUAAAUACUGUUUGCUUGCUUGUAUGUGGAUUAAUGAUGCUGACUGAGGAAAAAGAGAAUGAAAAAUUAUGUA